Mus musculus (house mouse) is the source of this 3838-nucleotide long non-coding RNA. RefSeq annotates it as predicted gene, 31769. The record is from RefSeq and is a predicted model, not a curated record. The transcript has 2 exons. Lineage: Eukaryota; Metazoa; Chordata; Mammalia; Rodentia; Muridae.
UCUUUUUGUUUUUUUCUUUUUUUUUUUCUUUCAAUUUCUGGCUUGGUCAGUGGAUAGACAGAUGACAGUAGUGAGUGUUUGGUGCAUGGCGAGGACCAAGGUGACAUUGGCUUUAGGUUUGCUGACCCUUGACCCAUGUGGACUGUCUGAAAAGACAUAGUCAAAGGGUAGUGAGCUAUUUAGAGCUGGCUCAGUGGAGCCCUGGCUGAGGGAGAACAGGAGCUGGUACUUGUGGGGAGAGGCCCACUCAGCAUGGCACCAAGGGGAAGGUGGUCAGAUGAGACAAAGGCAAAGAAGAAAAGACUCUCAGUCCUAGAGGGAACUAGAAGCAUUGUCAUGAAGCCAGAGACAGUUGUGUGGUAACGGGCUGGGCACGCCACAUGCUGCAGAGGGGUUCUGCCAUGAAGAACUGAAAAUCAGGUCUAAUUGGAGAGACUGAUCAUUCCCUAAACCCAUUGCCCUGAAGAAAAUGAAGCACGGAAGCUCAGAUCAAACACUGGCUCCUUCACCAUCUCCUGGAAGAAAGAAACGAGGGCUUUAAUCAAUGGGCCACAGGUCAAAAUGAUCAAAACUCAAACCAAGAAAAUAGCCGAUGCUGGAGAACCUAUGGGGGCAGGGGUGGGUAUUGUACACUGCUGGUGGGAAUGUAAAAUCAGUCCAGCCACUGUGAGAUAUACUACAGUGGCUCCUGAAGACACUAGAAAGAGCAUGAACAUAUGAUCCCAGUGGGGUACCACUCUUGGGCAUAGCCUACAAAGCAGACAGAGUGCAGUAGAGAUGCCCACACACAUGUUUAUUGUGGCAUUGGUCACUAUAGCCAAGUCACGGAAGCAGCUUAGGAGUCCAUCAAUAGAUGAAUAAACAAAGAGAAUGCAUCACACACACACACACACACACACACACACACACACACACACACACACAUGCACAGCACAUGCACAUACACAUACAUGCACACAUAUGCACACACACAUACACAUGCACAAAUGCACACGUGCACACAUGUACACACUGCACACAAGCUGAAUGGACAAAGAUAGAUAACACACUUGCAUGUGCACACACAUGCACAAUACAUGCACAUGUGCGCACAUGUGCACAUACACGUAGGCACAUACAUGCACACACCACACACACAGAGGCACACACACAUGUGUGCACACACAACAGAGUACUAGUCAGUCAUGAAGAAGAAUGAAAUCAUGUCAUUUGCAGGAGCUGAUGGAGCUGGAGGACAUUCUAUUCAGUAAAGUGAGCAUUUCCUCAUGUGAGAUUAAUGAUGAUGACAAUAAUAGAUGACCUGAAGACAAAAGAGAUAGCACUAGGGGAAGAUGGGGUCGGGGGCUGAGGGAAAGGGGAAGCUUGGGUAGUUAGGGCUGUACCAUCACAGCAUGAUAGAUUGCAUGUAUUUAGAUGUCGCCAUGAAGCUCGUUGAUAUGUGUAAUUGAUAUAUACUAAUCACUAUAAAAAUGCUACUGUAAAUGUUCUUUUUAAAAACAGCACUGGAGGACUUUCGAAACACAAUGUUUGGAGACCAGCGGGGCAAAUUCUCUGUUUAUCAUUUCUUCCUGGGAUUUCCCGAAGCACCUCUCCCUGAGAUAGAAAUCUGAGCCUUGUCACUAGAAGCGAGGAGACAGAUCCUGUCAGCCUGCACCUGGAGAGCCCUGGAGGUGGCAGGGUGCUGGUGGGAAGGCAGUGGAGGGAGUGGCCCCCCACUAUGUCUGCUACCCCUCAGCUCCUGCGGGCAGACACCUGGAGACACCUCCUAGCAGGCCCAGGGCUGUCCCGGGACAGCUCCACCCCUCGUCUGACACAGAGCUGUAUGGCUGCAUCCAUCUAUCCUUGUGCCAUGCAUCCCACCUUCUGAAGACACAGAUGUUCACACACAUGUGCACCCUGGGCUGCUGCACCUGGGGUGACUGGUGGGGCAGGAGAAAGUCUCCUGGUUUGGACUAAUUUAUGCUCGCUAGCCAAGGGAUGCUGUGCCAUCAGCUUCUGUUGGCAUCUUUGCUUCCUUUUUGAUCCAAUGUCGACUCAUUUGCUUCCUGCAUCCGAAAACACAGUGAUAUCAGUUACAGAGUCCUGGGGACCACGCAUGGCCUUCUACACACAGAUGCUCAUCCAGCUCUUGCCGUGACACUCCCUGCAGGCUCUGUUCUUAUUCCCAUCUCACACUGAGGGGAGCCGCAGUGUCUAGAGACAGUCUUAACCAGCCGGCUUCUUCAGUCACAUAUCUGCCAAUGCCCAGCUUCACAGUGACUAGUUUUCCAUUAGCUGUGUGGAAGGAAAGAACAUUGCUGGGCCUUCAAGCCCUCACUUCUUGGCCUCUCUCUCUCAGGCCUGGUGACUGGUAAGGGGGCUGUUGAGCCACUGUGCUGUGUGUACCCAUGUCUAGGACAAAGGCGGGGGUUCUAGGGUACCACAUGGCUUUAUUUCUGAGCACUUCCAACUCCAUCUUCCUCUCACAUCUCAUGCCUCUCCCAUCUGAAUAUCCAGGGAAUGAUCAUGCCAUCGGAGGCUCACUGUGGAUUGCGGAAGUGCAAGGAAAAGUUAAAUGGGGCAGCUAUCCACACGAUAGCUAUCCUGACAAAGGGCCACCUAUGUGCUGGCUUCGUGGUUGGCUCUUUGGGGGUGAGGGUAUUGAGUCCCUGAACUUGAGGAGAUGGCAGAUAUUGACCUGUUUUGCCUUGACACUAGCCAGGAACUGUGGUCUAACCAAGAAAGCAAGAAGAAAUCAAUAUUGGCACCCUGAGGGAGAUCUCAUAUGCAUCAAGUCUUUAAGGACUGGACCAGGCGAAGGCAUUCUAGGACUGGGGAGAGAAUAACACUUGAAAGUACUUUGAUGCCUUCCAGACAGCCCUCUCUGACAGGCCCCUUCCAUGCCCACUCUGGACCUCUGCCAACUCUGGCAGGUAGAACUACCUUUUGCUGUCAAGGACUGGCUAGCUACCAAGGACCCUCCACAAUCACCUUAAACCUCACUUUCACUGCCCCAGGCUGGUUCUGGGCCUCUGCUUGCUGUUCCCAGGGCCUCCUUUUCCCAGUGUGACUUGCCAGCCUCUCUGGCUAUGGCUUAGUGAACUGUUUGCUGGCCCCAGAGGCCAGACUACCUGUAAGUCCUGCUUACCAUCACACCCCGUGCAUACAACAGGUGCUCCAUAGAAGCCCAUGAAAUGAACAACUAAGCAUUUGAUAAAUAGUAGCUUGUCUUGUCACUGCAUUGUACACCCUGGCUGACACCUUCUCCUCUGCCAUUGCAUCUUGCCCUGGUUGUCUGUCUGGGUUCUAACCCUAGCCCAACAAUAAAGACUGGUACCCGGAGGGGCCCCGGGGACACUGGUAAUGUCACCAGCAAGGCUGUGAAAGCCACAGUGGACCUGAUCCAGAGUGCUUGUCCCUACUAAUUAUUACGGACAAGCCUCCUUAUUGAACCCCGUCCUCCUAUUGACAUUCGGAUGCAUGAGCCGAGGCUGUUGUUUUAAAUGUGCUCAUUAGCCACACAAAUCAGUCCUGUUGACAGAGCGCCUUUGAAUUAAGCAUCCCGCCGUAGUCAUUGGACAAGAAGCAAUUUAUAAUGCCAUUAGCAACGCUUUCGAAGGUUACAGGCAUCAAAAAUUGUUCAGCCGUAAUUAUUCUUAAUGGAUACAAGGAAUAAACCGACGUAGGACAGCUUUUUCAUUAGCCUUCAAUCAAGGCUGAUGGCUUUGAGAAGUGUACAGUAAGUGCGUUUUGGGGAGAAAUAAUGACGUUCCAGCACCUUUCUCGGGAAAAUGCUCUUGGUACACAGCUUAACUUUUAAUGGCCUUAAUUUGACAUAAUUAAAAAAAAUUUGAAUUUG